This is a long non-coding RNA of Amphimedon queenslandica, 528 nucleotides long. RefSeq lists it as uncharacterized. The transcript is spliced from 2 exons. The record is from RefSeq and is a predicted model, not a curated record. Lineage: Eukaryota; Metazoa; Porifera; Demospongiae; Haplosclerida; Niphatidae.
UACUACAUACACACAUGGAUAUGAAACAGGAAGUCGGUAUCCAAUUAACUCUUUGAAGUUCACCUGUAAACGUCAUAACCAGCAUAGCUCUAUCCUUGGCGCUUUUCUCUCUGUCUAUGUUUUCAAGAAUUUUCUUUACUCACUUAUUUUUGUGAAAGAAGGCCUCAUGUUUACAUGACAAAAUUAGAAGACCUCCAUUUUUAUUUGUAACCACCUUUUCUAGACUCUCGAACGGAGUUAGCUAGUAAGUCUUGGAAUCAUAAUAGUGUAUUGUUUGUUACAUGGACUGAAACUAUUCUCGUGUCAAUGUAAUGAGAAAUGACUGAGAUAAUAGCCAAAAACUAGUUUUUUUAAUAUUAAUUUUGUAACCACCUUUUUGAGACUUCUGCACCAGGUAUGAACAAGUUACUACUUUGAGUGUAUUCAUUAAGGCCUCUUAUAUAGACUGUUUAUGGUUUCAUUUUUCUAGAUGCUAUGUUUCAAAAGUAAUAAUAUAUUUUUUGCAAGUGUUUCAAAGGGUGUGGUUUA